GGACCGGGUGGACGGUGCACCAAAAAAUGUAUCGGGUGGGCCCAACGCAUUUCUCAGGCCCGGUUUCACCGCGAAACACCUGGUAACCCAAAAAAGUAAAAAUAGUUAAACACAUCAGCAAUCUCAACCAAGGACCAUUGGUCCAAAACCAGGGCGUUCAGGAAUCCCGAUCCAAUUUUACAGGAAAAUGGUGUAUUCAUCGCUAAACCUUUUAGGGACAAAAUUUAAGCGUAUACACUCUCCCUCUCCAUUUUUCCCUUUCUUCCUUUGAGCUUCUAUAUGUCGUUAUCAUUUAAGAAGAAGAAGAAGAAGAAGAAGAAGCAGUAUCACUAUUAAGGGGUUUCUCAAGCAAACAUCAAGAUGAAUAAUAUUAACAAUGGUCAAAGAAGUGCAACCUCAAAAGAUAAAGGGAAAAUGCUACAUAAUGACAAGGAGGUCUUAUGUUAGAUGGACAAAUGCUGAAGACGCAGGUUUAGUUUCAUGUUUAGUGGAUCUUGUUAAUAUGGGUGGAUGGAAACAAGAUGAUGGUCAAUUUAUAUCUGGCUACCAGCUUCAAAUAGAGAAGAUGAUGAAAGGCAAGAUUCCUAAUUAUCAAAUGAAAGCUAAUCCAUGUAUUGACUCAAGGGUUAAACUUUUUAGAUCAAAUUAUCAUGCAAUUGCUGAAAUGAGAGGUCCAAGAUGCAAUGGAUUUGGAUGGAAUGAAAGAGAUAAGUGCAUUACUUGUGACGAUGAAGUUUGAGAGAAUUGGGUUAAGAGUCACCGAGAUGCAGGAGGAUUGAGGAACAAACCAUUUUCUUUUCAUAAUGAAUUAGAUUAUGUUUAUGAAAAAGAUAGUGCUACAAGAGAAGGUGCCGAAAAUCCAGCCGAUGCAAUAGAAGAUAUUGAGUUAGAUGAGCAAGAAUAACAAAGUCAUUAUGAAUCAUGUCUCCCACCAAUUUUUAAUGGCGAGGUAGGUAAUGAGUAAGAAGAAACAAGUGCUAAACCUAUACAUGCAUUUUCUCAUUCUGUUUAAACAACACAUGUUGCACCAUCAAACACUGGAAAGUUAUUCAAGAAUUUUCUGGUGAAAUGGAUAAAUUAGUUAAUUUGA
Long non-coding RNA from Jatropha curcas, 1090 nucleotides. RefSeq lists it as uncharacterized. Lineage: Eukaryota; Viridiplantae; Streptophyta; Magnoliopsida; Malpighiales; Euphorbiaceae. The record is from RefSeq and is a predicted model, not a curated record.